CCUUUCAUGCAGCAGAAUUGGGAUGGUUGAGUAUCUCGCCUCUCCGUUCUGCCUGUAUUCUACCCUUGUUUGUCAUAUACUAUUAUUUCCUCGGCAGGCUUGCCUGCGAGUGAAACCAUUAUAACCUUUUAAUUUUUCAAUCAGCGUCUGAAAAAAAUUAAUAAUUA
This 167-nucleotide unclassified non-coding RNA is filed under the name soil metagenome. Its description in RNAcentral is "partial internal transcribed spacer 1". The record is from RNAcentral.